CGGCGCCGAGCCGCAGGGCGCCGACGGCGGCGGCCGGCACCGCCGGAUGCCGGGGCGGCACCGGCGCGACCCGGGCGUACGGCGCGCCCGGCGCCGGCC
RNAcentral lists this transfer RNA (99 nucleotides) under Actinoplanes digitatis. Its description in RNAcentral is "tRNA-Cys". Lineage: Bacteria; Bacillati; Actinomycetota; Actinomycetes; Micromonosporales; Micromonosporaceae. The record is from RNAcentral.